Long non-coding RNA from Mandrillus leucophaeus (drill), 2290 nucleotides. RefSeq lists it as uncharacterized. The record is from RefSeq and is a predicted model, not a curated record. NCBI's taxonomy places the organism in Eukaryota, Metazoa, Chordata, Mammalia, Primates, Cercopithecidae. The transcript has 3 exons.
CAGGGUUCACCACGUUAGCAUUCGCAUUCCUGGGAGGAUGUAGCCCUCGCCUGGACCUGGGCGAUAGAAGCCUUCUUCUGUUUUUAUUUUUGGAGGGGAUCGCCCUGUAAUUGUCCUGAACACAUGCUUCCCCCCCUUCCUCCAGCCACCCGCGGAGGAGAGAGUCCCCCUUUUUUGCAUUUAUCUUUUCCUUCCCCUUUCUUUAUUAAAGGUCCGGGAGUGGCGGCGGCCAAUCAGCGCGCGGCUUCCAUUUUGUGAGUUCAACUCCGAGGCUCCCGGGCUUCGCGAGGACGCGUUUGCAGCCCCCUCUGCCGCUCCUCUCUGGCGGCCGAGGCGCAGGAGCCGCCUCGCCGGGGCUCGGAGCUGGUGUAGCUCAUAUUGGGGCUCUUUUCGGGGUUUGUAAUUUGGCCGUGGGUAGGUAAUUGGCUGGAGCAGGGCGGCAGGGCGCGGCAGCCAAUCAGCGCGCGGCUUCUAUAGGGCUUGAGUUAUUAGACGCUGAUCUCAAAACAUCCUUCAUCAGACACGAAGGAGAGGCCAACAGAUGAGGGAAGCCAUUUUUCUGCAAUGGAAUUAAAUGGCCAAGUGGGUUUUUCCUUUGUUGCAAAUGGGGAAUGUUUUUCCUUUGACUCUACCAUCCAGUUCAGGACGUCUCAGUGUGUUUAACAUUUGUCAACAGGCCCAAGGACUCACAGUUGGAAGACUGGAGAAGACUUUUUAAAAAGAUCUGGAUUUUUCCUUAUGACUUGGAAUCCAUCUUUGUCUUGUAUAACUAGGUCAUAGCACACCAUUCAUGUCAGCAGUUAACAGUUUUGAAUUCCAAAAAAACCUAAGUAAAUGACAUAUUUUUUUCCUUUUUGUUCUUUGGGUGGGUGGGGGGAGCUUGGAGCUGUCUUAAUCUGUAUUCUCUUGACUGAACAAUAAAUUUUUAAAUAUAUCUAGUUUCCUCUAUUAAACACUUAAACCUGGCCAUCUUAUUAACUCCUUCUCUCUUUUUAACAAGGUAAUGUUUUAAAUGUAUAUAGCUUUAGAACUAGCGAAAUGGCAGCAACAAAAAAUUGUGAGCAGUUUACUCUUAGUUUUUAAAAAACCUUUUACAUUGUAAGUACCCAAUCCAUUCUGUCCUGACGCAGUACAGUUUUUAUGUUAAUGUUGCUGAGAUGUCCUUAAUUUUCCGAACCUUCAUCUGCAUGUAUGUCUUUGUCUCUCUUGUCUAAUAUAAGCCAGUUAAGAUGCUUUGAGACGAUCUUGCUUUUAUAAAGCUAAGGUUCUAGCUUUAUGCUUUUGAAAAUGCUUACAGCACUAAAUGCUAGUCAGCUUUCUUCCCCGUAGCUUGUACACUUUCUUUGAAAAUCGAUCUAUUUGAAGAAAAACAGCCCUGUUUUUCUCGUCUUUGGGGUUGGGGGUUGGGGGGAGCUGGUGGGUGAGGGAAAGGAAGACCUUCUCUUUGUGUCGAGAGACUAAAGCCGUCACAGGAAACUAGAUUAAAACUGGAAAACAAGUCCUAACUGGUUCCAGCAAACACGUUCAACGUUAAGUGGGGGGUAUUUUCUAUGGUGGUUGGGCGGCUGGUGUCUUUUGCCUUUUGUUUGAUUUGACUGUGUAUUUUCGCCUUUUGUCUCUUAAUGACGAUCACACCAUUGCUAUAUCCAGAGCAGUAAACAGUCCUCAGCGAAGCUGCCUUUUUGCCUACCCAACCCUGGAAAGUUUGCAGAAGUGGAAGGAGCAGAACGUGAGGGUGUAACUUACAAAAAGGUUCUGGGCCAGAGAAGGGGCGACAGCCGGGCACCCCCCGAAUGGACAAUUUUUCCUUCUGUCGACGGCAGGGGCAGGCCUAGUUUGACCCUGACAGUCCUCCCAUUAAGCUUCUGUUGUCAGGCAUUUGGGGCGUGCAAUUCUCUGCCGAAUUUAGCAGCAUACGAGAGGCUCCACUUGCAAGUAUUUCCCAGUUGUGUGUUUUUCGGCGGGGGGAGGGCCCUGGGUGCCUCCUACUUCUAAAAGACACAGGUCACUGCCAGAAAGCCCAACUGUGUUGUGGCCUCCCUUCCAGCCGUCCCCGUGGGGCAUUUGGGGUGACAGUGUGAGCCAUCCUCGGAUGUCUGGCUGCUAGGGAGGCAAAGAACAGAGAUCCGGGGUCCCAGCCAGCUUUCUUUAUGAAAGGGCCGUCCUUGACGCUUCACCACCUUCCUGGGAUUCUUGUUUUCUUCUCCAGUCCCCAGAUGGGCAGGCCUGUAUAUAAGCCUUAGUGUUUAGAACCGGACAAAGCUGGAUUUGAAACCUGGCGAGCCAUUGA